RNAcentral lists this ribosomal RNA (475 nucleotides) under uncultured bacterium. RNAcentral describes it as "bacterial SSU rRNA". It matches the Rfam family "Bacterial small subunit ribosomal RNA", at positions 28 to 507 of the family's 1533-position model. The record is from RNAcentral.
GACGAACGCUGGCGGCGUGCCUAACACAUGCAAGUCGAGCGGGGUUGAGGCGAGAGGUAACUCGAACUUCUACCUAGCGGCGGACGGGUGAGUAACGCGUGGGCAACCUGCCUCAAGGUUUGGGAUAACAGCCCGAAAGAGUCGCUAAUACCGGAUAAUGUCUUGGUGCUGCAUGGCACCGGGAAGAAAGGGGAAACCCGCUUUCAGAUGGGCCCGCGCCCCAUCAGUUAGUUGGUAAGGUAACGGCUUACCAAGGCGACGACGGGUAGCCGGUCUGAGAGGACGAUCGGCCACACUGGGACUGAGAUACGGCCCAGACUCCUACAGGAGGCAGCAGUUGGGAAUCUUAGGCAAUGGGCGAAAGCCUGACCUAGCGACGCCGCGUGAGGGAAGAAGGCCUUCGGGUCGUAAACCUCUGUCAUGGGGGACGAAGAAAGUGACGGUACCCCAGGAGGAAGCCCCUGCUAACUACGUG